AUACCAUAGUGAGGACAUCUCAUAAGUAGUUUUUUGAAUCUUUCCCAUGCAUCAUAUAAACUUUCAUUUUCAAGUUGAUGGAAAGAUGUGAUCUUAUUUCUCAAUUU
Molecule: small nucleolar RNA, 107 nt
Filed under: Citrus sinensis (sweet orange)
Lineage: Eukaryota; Viridiplantae; Streptophyta; Magnoliopsida; Sapindales; Rutaceae
Description: Plant small nucleolar RNA R71
Rfam family: Plant small nucleolar RNA R71
About the family: R71 is a member of the C/D box family of snoRNAs containing the C (UGAUGA) and D (CUGA) box motifs. Multiple nearly identical copies of this snoRNA have been identified in Arabidopsis, and it is thought to function as a 2'-O-ribose methylation guide for 18S ribosomal RNA.
Source: Rfam by way of RNAcentral